RNAcentral lists this long non-coding RNA (753 nucleotides) under Carica papaya (papaya). RNAcentral describes it as "long non-coding RNA (CPAP_LNC002429)". The record is from RNAcentral. Lineage: Eukaryota; Viridiplantae; Streptophyta; Magnoliopsida; Brassicales; Caricaceae.
AGACGGAUCAAAGAAGAAAGAAAAGAACCUGAACUAACGUCCACCCUCUGGAUUGUGUGACAUUACUAGGAGAGAACCAGGCGUUCAAGCUAUAAGAUCAAAUUUGACUUUUUGAUCCAAUCGAUUAUGCAGUUGAUUUAGCAGCAUAACCAUAACUAGCACCAGAUCGGUCUUGACAUAUAGGCGAAAGCUACUUAUGGUCCAGCAACUUGAUCUCGCUCUGGAAAAGGAAGUCUAGGCUUCUUUCCUUCCUGCCGCUGUUAAUGACAUUUAUGGAUCAAGAGGAUUGAUUAAUAAAGAAUCUUAUGAAUAUGGGUAUAUAUCCUUUAUAACUGGCUAGUAAUGCACAUGUCUUUCUUCUCUUACUAUGAGUGGGCGUGCUACCGAAAUGACUUCAGGUUCUUUGACUAGGGACAUAGCUAUAAGAUCUACUACUAGUGCUUUAGCCAGAGCCUUCUUCUAUGCAAGAUCUAUUGAUGUGAUAGACAGAUCAUGAGCAUAAGACUCUGAUGCUUAGUUUGUUCCAUUUCUAGCUAGAAUUAGAAUAAACGAUCUCGAGAUGUGUCGGCCGGGAUGCCGCAGGCUCGGAUGGAGGGAACGUGAGGCAGCGUGAUUGAUGGCUUUCAAAGAGGCUAUGCCGGGUCUUUUCUUUUCUAGGUUUUCCCCUCUCUACCUAGGACGCAUUUACUGGCUAAGCUCACAGGCUAGGGGCCUAUCCAAGGCAAGAUCCUGCUGUGGUGUAAUCAAUAGCUU